Molecule: ribosomal RNA, 414 nt
Filed under: uncultured bacterium
Lineage: Bacteria
Description: bacterial SSU rRNA
Rfam family: Bacterial small subunit ribosomal RNA
Source: RNAcentral
UGGGGAAUAUUGCACAAUGGACGGAAGUCUGAUGCAGCGACGCCGCGUGGGGGAUGACGGCCCUCGGGUUGUAAACCCCUUUCGCCAGGGACGAAGCCUUUUGCAGGUGACGGUACUUGGAGAAGAAGCGCCGGCCAACUACGUGCCAGCAGCCGCGGUAAGACGUAGGGCGCGAGCGUUGUCCGGAUUUAUUGGGCGUAAAGAGCUCGUAGGCGGUCCAUUGCGUCUGUCGUGAAAACCUGCAGCUUAACUGUGGGCUUGCGGUUGAUACGGGUGGGCUGGAGUUCGGUAGGGGAGACUGGAAUUCCUGGUGUAGCGGUGAAAUGCGCAGAUAUCAGGAGGAACACCGGUGGCGAAGGCGGGUCUCUGGGCCGAUACUGACGCUGAGGAGCGAAAGCGUGGGGAGCGAACAGG